Panicum virgatum (switchgrass) is the source of this 234-nucleotide long non-coding RNA. RefSeq lists it as uncharacterized. The record is from RefSeq and is a predicted model, not a curated record. Lineage: Eukaryota; Viridiplantae; Streptophyta; Magnoliopsida; Poales; Poaceae. The transcript is spliced from 3 exons.
CACAUACCCUGUGCACCAAAUUGCUCAGUCCCUCCAAUUUCCUUAUCCAUCCUUCAAUCCCCACGGCCACAGAUCCAUUCCGUCGCAAUCGCUGCACACCGCGUCCACAGAUCAAGAAGCGUAGUGCAUAGGAGAAGGAGAAUCAAAUUGCUUCCUAUCCCUCCCCUUACUGUCUUCUUGGCUGUGAAUCUGGAAGCCCAAUUUUUGGACGAUGCAGGUUAGUCCCAAAUCAAC